This 71-nucleotide transfer RNA is filed under the name Narke japonica (Japanese sleeper ray). RNAcentral's name for it is "tRNA-Ser". Lineage: Eukaryota; Metazoa; Chordata; Chondrichthyes; Torpediniformes; Narkidae. The record is from RNAcentral.
CAAGAAAGGAAGGAAUUGAACCUCCAUAUAUUAGUUUCAAGCCAAUCACAUUACCGCUCUGUCACUUUCUU